CAAAAUGGCGGCGGCCGUUGGUGCGGGGUGUCGCUUGUAGUUCCGUUGCUCUACUCCUCCCGUUGCAAAAUGUGAAAGGAGAAGCGGCUGGUGGAGGGCGUCCUACGCAAUGAGUCGGCGAAGGAAAUAUGGGGACAGCCCUGGCUUGAAGAACACGCCGCGCAAAGCGGCGGCGACUGAGGAAUGCAGCUCGGUGGUCGAAACGGGGAAGAGGCGGCUGAGGUCGGCCCGCGGUUCAGGGCCCUGUGGCGCUGGAGAGAGGCCUCCCCGGCCCCUGCCGCAGCAACAGCAGCCUCCAGUAGCCGCUUCGUGCAGUAAAAGUAACCCCGAGGGUGAGACGUGGGCAGCGGGGCCUCCCUGGGCUUCGGCGCCGCAGCUUCAGAAGCCAGCUCGUGACCGGGAAACCCCGGGUGCAGAAAUGUAUGAAACACCAAAGAGAAUGCUGCAAAUGGAUUUAUUGUCAUCUACCUUCAGUUCUCCUAAUGAUCCAGAUGGACAGAAUGAUAUCUUUUGGGAUCAGAAUUCUCCAAUGACAAAACAGUUAGGUAAAGGAAGAAAAAAGCAGAUUUACACCACAGAUAGUGAUGAAAUCUCACAUAUUGUUAAGCGUAUUGCUCCUCAGGAUGAGAAACCAACAACAGACUCCAUGCUGGGCGUGUGGAUUGGUGCAACUGCUAUUCCUUGCACUCCUAGUGUAGCAAAAGGAAAAUCAAGAGCAAAACUCAGCUGUGCAAAGUUAAAAUCACAAAAUCAGGAGGAGGAACUUAUGAAAUUGGCUAAGCAAUUUGAUAAAAAUAUGGAAGAGCUAGAUGUGAUUCAAGAGCAAAACAAGAGAAAUCAUGAUCUUAUCCAGAUGAUUUCAGAAGCAGAGACUUUAAAUAAUUACAGAGAUAGUGUACAGACGCAGUUGCUACAUGAUAUAGUUCCUGAAAUCGAUAAUGCUAUGAUAAAGAAGCCAGUGAAAGAAAACAGGAUAUUUGUAGUAAAUGAUCAAAAUAGCAGUCAGAAGCCAUUUGACCAAAACGCUGAAGCAGCCUUUAUCGCCAUUUUUGAUGGUUCUACUCAGAAAUGUAGUGGACGGUUAAGCCAAGAUCUGUCAGAUGCUUUCUUGAACACCAGUAAUACUACCUUUGGAAAGAAAAACGCUUUGAAAGAGGAGAACAUCAUUACUAAUGAAACUCUGGUCACUGAAAAACUGCCAAAUAAAACCAAAGGAUCACUUUCUCGUCAAGUAGAUAAUCCUGGAAUGACAAAAUCACAUGUGACUGCCUGUACUAAGGAACCAGGAGCUUUUAAUAAGCACAUUGAUACAUUUACUACCAGUGACUUUGAGGAUGAUUGGGAAAACUUACUAAAUAAUGAACCUUUUGUUAUGCAAAAUAUUGAAAUGUCUGAACUUUUCGCUGCCCCUGAAACAGCCCAGAUUACUGAUCAAAAGGAAAUUUGUACCUUUAACAGUAAAAAUGGUAAAAGUAAGUCAGGAAUGAAUACAAGUCUAGAUACCAGGUUAAGAGAUUCAAAAAUUUUACAAGAUCUUCCUUCAAAGACAUGGAACAGUGAAUUAACGGAUGCUGCAAAAUACAGAUUUUCACCACAGCCGAAUGAUAAACCAAAUAAAUUAUCAUCCACUGGAAAUAAAAUGAAAUUGGAGAAAUCUUUUAAUACAAUUGUUGUUCAAGACAAAAUUCAAGACUGUGCAGUUGCAUCUAAUCUGGCAAAAGUAAAUGAAGAUACCCAUAUUAAAUUUACUUCUAAUGUAAAUGCUUCUGAAAAAAAGUCUACUUUGAACCCAGGAUGUUCUAAUGAACAAAAAAAUAAGUCCAUUUUUAAUCAGUCUUUGAAGGCACCUACUAAUGUUGAGCCUUUAGGCUCUGCAACUUUGGGCAAUAAAACUAGUGUUUGUAACCCAAAUCAGACUAAUGCAUCAAAGCUUAGUUCUUUCUUUGAUGAUUGGAAUGAUACAUCAUUUACCAAUGAAAUUGUUAAAGCCUGUCAUCACUUAGAGAAUACCUGGGAAGCAGAUGAUGUAGAUGAUGAUUUAUUAUACCAAGCAUGUGAUGAUAUUGAAAGACUAACUCAGGAACAAGACAUUAGAGUGGACAGCAAGACAUCAGAAAGUGUACUUGGGAUCAAUAAUAGUUCUAAACAUGGAGCCAAAAAUGUGUUUACUACACCUAAACAAGGAAGUCAGUUGGUGCAAUCAAAGCAUUUGAAUCUGAACAGCGAUUCAGUGCAAACAUCUUCAUUGACAGAUAGCUUACAAAUAAAUAAAUCAAUGAAGAUGGAGAAAAGGGAAAUUUGUGGAAAUUCUCCCGGGUUUUUAGGUGCCACGACAAAUUUGACUAUAUAUUCUAAGAACUCAAAUUGUCAGAUCAAUAAUCUGCAUGUCUCUUGGAAUAACACUGAUGUUCCAAAACAAGUGAAUAGUUCCAAAUCGGUUCUUACAGGAAGUUCAAGUUUGAAUGUGAGUUCAGAUCAUAUGAGUACAGAAAUUGCUGCUAAUAAGAAGAAAUUGAGUACUCCACAUCUAUCGCAUAGCACCGUAACAGAUGAAGCUCAGAGUGACCUUAACAGAACAGUGAGAUUUUCUAAGUACACGUUUAUAAAGAUGAAAAAUUCUCAAAUUCUUUCUCAGUUUAAUAACAAUUGUAUAACAGGAAGUAUUUCUGGUACCAAAAUCACACAGGGUUUGCAGAAAAAUAAAACUGUCAACCCAUUAUGUGGGAAGGCUGUUCAACAGCAGUCUUUGGUGAAAUUUUCUGAAUCUUUGAAACAAACUUCAAAAGAGGAAGAAGAGAAAAAUAGAAAGUAUUCUCCUGAAGAAAUUCAGAGAAAAAGACAAGAAGCACUGGUUCGAAGAAUGGCCAAAGCACAGGCAUCAUCUGUAAAGAAAGACAGCUCCCACUUAACUUGAUUUCUUUAAUGAAAUGUUACUUCGGAGGUAACAAAGACAGUUGAUAACUAUCUAUGAUAGGAAAUAUUUUUUCUUGAUUUCUCUAUGAGAAAUUUAAUGCUGAGUUAUAAAGCAUGGACUUCUACUUUAUUUAAUAAAUCAGUGUUUACAAUGGUCAAUGAAACCUUUCCUUGGAGAUGUAUGUGAAAGUAAUUGCAUGUAAGUUUUGGAAAUUCAGGAAAGUUAGCAAUUAUAUAGUAGAAUCAUACAGAGGAAACUAGUUUUAUUUUUAAAUACUGUGAUUGCAGAGGAUCAUCAAAAAAUAGAUAAUCCACUUAAUUUUUAUUGUAAUAAGUCUUUUCCUAAUACAAAGCUUCAACUUACUAAUAGAGACUAUUUCUUCAUAGCUUUAUUUUCAAUAACUGUUCCUUAAGGUUUUUAUACGUUUCUGAAUUUUAAUUAAUACUUCCAUAUUCUUAGGAACAUGUUUGGUAGGAAAUAAAGGACUUCAUAAGAAAAUUACUAUUUUCAAUUCCUAGUUUGUAAUAGAUGUGAAUUUAAAAUUUUCUAAAAUGUAGUACCUUUUGGAAACUUCCCACCAUUUUUAGGGAAAAUGCUGAUUUAAGAAGUUUAGUUUUGAAAGAAGAAUGUGGAUUAGCUAUAUAAGUAGUGUACCAUCAGUAACAUUUAGAACUGUCGGAAACUUUAGAUAUCAUCUGGUCCAGCUUCUUCACUGUAUAGGUGAGAAAUGAAUACUGUUAUUCCAAAAGUCAGAAGGCAAGUUGGAGCUGUGCUAGGAUUAGAAUGAUGUCUUUCAUUCUAGUGGAUACCUAGGCAAAUGGUACCAUUUGCUUCAGAGUAUUAAUUAGUACCUAAAAUAACUUGUUUGUGGGCGCAUUAAUUAUUUUAUAGUAUAAAACUUAAAAAAAGUAACUAAAAUACAUUAAGCGACUGAUAAUAAUGCUUAUUGUUUCUUGUAUUAAAGAAUUAACCAUUCCAGGAUAUAAAAAAUGAGAAUCUUUUUUCAGUUUUCCUAUAACUAUGUAAUUUUCCCUUGAUUAAUUUACUGACUUUGCUAAUUUCUUCUUCUCUGUUACUCUCUUUUUAAUUUUUGCUUGUUUGGAAUUUGCGAAGCCAGAAGUAAAAAUCUUAGCUGAGGGCAUAAGGACGAUUCUCAGAAUUUAUUCAUAACUGAAAGUAUGUACCUUUUGACCAACAUCGGUGGGUUGAUUUUAAUUGACACCUAGGACAACAAGUUGUUCUAACUGAGAAUUCCCACGGCAAGGACAGUGAGCUAGCAUUUGUUCGGAAAGGCCUCACUCUGGCUGUUCAUCUAUAUUAUCUCUGAUCUACACUUGAGGCUUUGCUAAUUUGUAUAAUGAACAUUUAAAAUGUCUUUUCAGUUGCAAAAUUAGUGCUUGUUAUUAGCUUGUGAAUGUUAAAAGUGGGCUUUCAAUGGUCAGAUUACUGGGGUUCAGGAUAUAUACACCAACUGAACUAUUUAGGGAAAUCCCUGCACUGGCAUGGAUUAAACUGCAGCCAGCCUAUCCUGAGGGAUGGCUCAGACAGACAUGUAUUUACACCUCUGUGUCAUAGAGUAAGUACAUAUCCUUAAUGUCAUUAGAUAAUGCCAAGCUGUUUCCUAUAAAUGUGCACCUUUUACAGUUCCAUCACACUUUAAACUGCUUGACAAUCUGUUGGCUGUGUACUAACAUCUUAUUGUGGUUUUAAUUGGCAAUUUCCCUACUACUAGUAAAAUAGAGCCCUUUUUCAUAUGUUUAUAUACCAUCUGAAUUUGCUCAAUUAUGAGUUGCUUGUAUAGACACUUUUCUGUUGGGUUGCCCGUUUUUGUUUUUUGUUUUUUGUUUUUUUCACACACACACACUGUAUUUUUACAAGAAAUAAAUAAACUGACACCAAGCAUUGUAAAUGGAUGACCACAACAAAAGCACCAAUGAUUGCAAUUACCAAACACUAAACACACUCAUACUAUGUCAUAAUAUUGACAUUCAGUCCAGUAAUCCACCACUGUAACAGCUCCUUUACUUUGCAGUGAAAAUUGAUUUGUAUAUUUUUUGCCUCUGAGUCCUUGUGGAAUUUUUUAUUUUUAUUAUUUUUUUAUUCAAACAGAAAGUCACAAAAAUUAUAAUCAUCCUCAUCAGGUCACUCAGUCCCAUGUGAUUAAUUUUUUUUCAUCUUGAUCUUUUGUUAGCACUUUUAUGAAUUCAUCAGUUUUCCAUUAGAGUUCUGAAAAUGCUUAUUCAUUCAGUUCAGCAGUAUAGUCAGUUACCAGAAACCUGUACUUGUCAGAGUCUUUUCCAUGAAUUCCUUGAAGAUGAAACCCUUUUAUAGGAACAUUUUUGCAAAAGCAUCAGAGUACACCCAGAACUGUCUGUAAAUGACAAAAGACUUAAAAACGACCACGGCUAAAGGUUUGAUGCAAGUUCAUAAUAAUGCAAUUGACAAGGAAAUAUAGUUAUUUCUGGGAUAUACAUUUUAAAGUAAUAACUAGAAUUAUGACUUAUAACAUUAUACCAGAACAUAUAAGAUUUUUAGAAAUUUCAUGUAAUGUCUGAAACAUUUAUAUUAACAUAUUUCCAUACAAAUAACCCAAAGAAAGUUUAGUAUUAGUUGUUUCUUUUGUUUGUUUGUGUUUUUUAUACUGCAGGUUCUUAUUAGUCAUCAAUUUUAUACACAUCAGUGUAUACAUGUCAAUCCCAAUCGCCCAAUUCAGCACACUACCAUCCCCACCCCACCGCAGUUUUCCCCCCUUGGUGGCCAUACAUUUGUUCUCUACAUCUGUGUCUCAACUUCUGCCCUGCAAACCGGUUCAUCUGUACCAUUUUUCUAGGUUCCACAUACAUGCGUUAAUAUACGAUAUUUGUUUUUCUCUUUCUGACUUAAUUCACUCUGUAUGACAGUCUCUAGAUCCAUCCACAUCUCAACGAAUGACUCAGUUUCGUUCCUUUUUAUGGCUGAGUAAUAUUCCAUUGUAUAUAUGUACCACAUCUUCUUUAUCCAUUCAUCUGUCGAUGGGCAUUUAGGUUGCUUCCAUGACCUGGCUAUUGUAAAUAGUGCUGCAGUGAACAUCGGGGUGCAUGUGUCUUUUUUUUUAAAGAUUUAUUGAUUUAUCGAUUGAUUGAUUGCUAUGUUGGGUCUUCGUUUCUGUGCUAGGGCUUUCUCUAGUUGCGGCAAGCGGGGGCCACUCUUCAUCGCGGUGCGCGGGCCUCUCACUAUCGCGGCCUCUCUUGUUGCGGAGCACAGGCUCCAGACGCGCAGGCUCAGUAGUUGUGGCUCACGGGCCUAGUUGCUCUGCGGCAUGUGGGAUCUUCCCAGACCAGGGCGCGAACCCGUGUCCCCUGCAUUAGCAGGCAGAUUCUCAACCACUGGGCCACCAGGGAAGCCCCACAUGUGUCUUUUUGAAUUAUGGUUUUCUCUGGGUAUAUGCCCAGCAGUGGGAUUGCUGGAUCAUAUGGUAAUUCUAUUUUUAGUUUUUUAAGGAACCUCUGUACUGUUCUCCAUAGUGGCUGUAUCAGUUUACAUUCCCACCAACAGUGCAAGAGGGUUCCCUUUUCUCCACACCCUCUCCAGCAAUUUGUUGUUUGUAGAUUUUCUGAUGAUGCCCAUUCUAACUGGUGUGAGGUGAUACCUCAUUGUAGUUUUGAUUUACAUUUCUCUAAUAAUUAGUGAUGUUGAGCAGCUUUUCAUGUGCUUCUUGGCCAUCUGUAUGUCUUCUUUGGAGAAAUGUCUAUUUAGGUCUUCUGCCCAUUUUUGGAUUGGGUUGUUUGUUUCUUUAAUAUUGAGCUGCAUGAGCUGUUUAUAUAUUUUGGAGAUUAAUCCUUUGUCUGUUGCUUUGUUUGCAAAUAUUUUCUCCCAUUCUGAGGGUUGUCUUUUCGUCUUGUUUAUGGUUUCUUUUGCUGUGGAAAAGCUUUGAAGUUUCAUUAGGUCCCAUUUGUUUAUUUUUGUUUUUGUUUCCAUUACUCUAGGAGGUGGAUCAAAAGAGAUAUUGCUGUGACUUAUGUCAAAGAGUGUUCUUCCUAUGUUUUCCUCUAAGAGUUUUAUAGUGUCCAGUCUGAUAUUUAGCUCUCGAAUCCAUUUUGAGUUUAUUUUGGUGUAUGGUGUUAGGGAGUGUUCUAAUUUCAUUCUUUUACGUGGCGCUGUCCAGUUUUCCCAGCACCACUUAUUGAGGAGACAGUCUUUUCUCCAUUGUAUAUCUUUGCCUCCUUUGUCAUAGAUUAGUUGACCAUAGGUGCCUGGGUUUAUCUCUGGGCUUUCUAUCUUGUUCCAUUGAUCUAUGUUUCUGUUUUUGUGCCAGUACCAUAUUGUCUUGAUUACUGUAGCUUUGUAGUAUAGUGUAAAGUCAGGGAGUCUGAUUCCUCCAGCUCCGUUUUUUUCCCUCAAGACUGCUCUUGCUAUUCGGGGUCUUUUGUGUCUCCAUACAAAUUUUAAGAUGAUUUGUGAUAGUUCUGUAAAAAAUGCCAUUGGUAAUUUGAUAGGGAUUGCAUUGAAUCUGUAGAUUGCUUUGGGUAGUAUGGUCAUUUUCACAAUAUUGAUUCUUCCAAUCUAAGAACCUGGUAUAUCUCUCCAUCUGUUAGUAUCAUCUUUAAUUUCUUUCAUCAGUGUCUUAUAGUUUUCUGCAUACAGGUCUUUUGUCUCCCUAGGUAGGUUUAUUCCUUGGUAUUUUAUUCUUUUUGUUGCAGUGGUAAAUGGGAGUGUUUCCAUAAUUUCUCUUUCAGAUUUUUCAUCAUUAGUGUAUAGGAAUGCAAGAAAUUUCUGUGCAUUAAUUUUGUAUCCUGCAACUUAACCAAAUUCAUUGAUUAGCUCUAGUAGUUUUCUGGUGGCAUUUUUAGGAUUCUCGAUGUAUAGUAUCAUGUCAUCUGCAAACAGUGACAGCUUUACUUCUUCUUUUCUGAUUUGUAUUCCUUUUAUUUCUUUUUCUUCUCUGAUUGCCAUGGCUAGGACUUCCAAAACUAUGUUGAAUAAUAGUGGUGAGAGUGGACAUCCUUGUCUCGUUCCUAAUCUUAGAGGAAAUGCUUUCAGUUUUUCACCAUUGAGAAUGAUGUUUGCUGUGGGUUUGUCGUAUAUGGCCUUUAUUAUGUUGAGGUAGGUUCCCUCUAUGCCCACUUUCUGGAGAGUUUUUAUCAUAAAUGGGUGUUGAAUUUUGUCAAAGGAGUUUUCUGCAUCUAUUGAGAAUGAUCAUAUGGUUUCUCUUCUUCAGUUUGUUAAUAUGGUGUAUCACAUUGAUUGAUUUGCGUAUAUUGAAGAAUCCUUGCAUCCCUGGGAUAAAUCCCACUUGAUCAUGGUGUAUGAUCCUUUUAAUGUGUUGUUGGGUUCUGUUUGUUACUAUUUUGUUGAGGAUUUUUGCAUCUAUUUUCAUCAGUGAUAUUGGUCUGUAAUUUUCUUUUUUUGUAGUAUCUUUGUCUGGUUUUGGUAUCAGGGUGAUGGUGGCCACAUAGAAUGAGUUUGGGAGUGUUCCUUCCUCUGCAAUUUUUUGGAAGAGUUUGAGAAGGAUAGGUUUUAGCUCUUCUCUAAAUGUUUGGUAGAAUUCACCUGUGAAGCCAUCUGGUCCUGGACUUCUGUUUGUUGGAAGAUUUUUAAUCACAAUUUCUUUUUUAUACUUUAUUUAUUUAUUUUAUUUAUUUAUUUAUGACUGUGUUGGGUCUCUUAGUUUUCGUGUGAGGGCUUUCUCUAGUUGCGGCAAGUGGGGGCCACUCUUCAUCGCGGUGCGGGGGCCGCUCUUCAUCGCGGUGCGCGGGCCUUUCACUAUCGCGGCCCCUCCCGUUGCGGGGCACAGGCUCCAGACGCGCAGGCUCAGUAGUUGUGGCUCACAGGCCCAGUUGCUCCGCGGCAUGUGGGAUCUUCCCAGACCAGGGCUCGAACCCGCGUCCCCUGCAUUGGCAGGCAGAUUCUCAGCCACUGCGCCACCAGGGAAGCCCAAUCACAAUUUCAAUUUCAUUACUUGUGAUUGGUCUGUUCAUAUUUUCCGUUUCUUCCUGGUUCCAUCUUGGAAGGUUAUACCUUUCUAAGAAUUUGUCCAUUUCCUCCAGGUUGUCCAUUUUGUUGGCAUAGAGUUGCUUGUAGUAGUCUCCUAGGAUGCUUUGUAUUUCUGUGGUGUCUGUUGUAACUUCUCCUUUUUCAUUUUAAUUUUAUUGAUUUGAGUCCUCUCCCUCUUUUUCUUGAUGAGUCCUGCUAAUGGUUUAUCAAUUUUGUUUAUCUUCUCAAAGAACCAGCUUUUAGUUUUACUGAUCUUUGCUAUUGUUUUCUUUGUUUCCAUUUCAUUUAUUUCUGCUCUGAUCUUUAUGGUUUCUUUCCUUCUGCUAACUUUGGGUUUUGUUUGUUCUUCUUUCUCUAGUUCCUUUAGGUGUAAGGUUAGAUUGUUUACUUGAGAUUUUUCUUGUUUCUUGAGGUAGGCUUGUAUAGUUAUAAACUUCCCUCUUAGAACUGCUUUUGCUAUAUCCCAUAGGUUGUGGAUUGUCAUGUUUUCAUUGUCAUUUGUCUAGGUAUUUUUUGAUUUCCUCUUUGAUUUCUUCAGUGAUCUCUUGGUUGUUUAGUAACGUAUUGUUUAGCUUCCAUGUGUUUGUGUUUUUUACGUUUUUUCCCCUGUAAUUCAUUUUUAAUCUCAUAGCGUUGUGGUCAGAAAAGAUGCUUGAUAUGAUUUCAAUUUUCUUAAAUUUACUGAGGCUUGAUUUGUGACCCAAGAUGUGAUCCAUCCUGGAGAAUGUUCCGUACGCACUUGAGAAGAAAGUGUAAUCUGCUGUUUUUGGAUGGAAUGUCCUGUAGAUAUCAAUUAAAUCUAUCUGGUCUAUUGUGUCAUUUAGAGCUUCUGUUUCCUUAUUUAUUUUCAUUUUGGAUGAUCUGUCCAUUGGUGUAAGUGAGGUGUUAAAGUCCCCCACUAUUACUGUGUUACUGUCGAUUUCCUCUUUAUAGCUGUUAGCAGUUGCCUUAUGUAUUGAGGUGCUCCUAUGUUGGGUGCAUAUGUAUUUAAAAUUGUUAUACCUUCUUCUUGGAUUGAUCCCCUGAUCAUUAUGUAGUGUCCUUCCUUGUCUCUUGUAACAUUCUUUAUUUUAAAGUCUAUUUUAUCUGAUAUGAGUAUAGCUACUCCAGCUUUCUUUUGAUUUCCAUUUGCAUGGAAUAUCUUUUUCCAUCCCCUCACUUUCAGUCUGUAUGUGUCCCUAGGUCUGAAGUGGGUCUCUUGCAGACAGCAUAUAUAUUGGUCUUGUUUUUGUAUCCAUUCAGCAAGCCUGUGUCUUUUCAUUGGCGCAUUUAAUCCAUUCACGUUUAAGGUAAUUAUCGAUAUGUAUGUUCUUAUGACCAUUUUCUUAAUUGUUUUGUGUUUGUUGUUGUAGAUCCUUUUCUUCUCUUGUGUUUCCCACUUAGAGAAGUUCCUUUAGCAUUUGUUAUGGAGGUGGUUUGGUGGUGCUGAUUACUCUUAGCUUUUGCUUGUCUGUAAAGCUUUUGAUUUCUCCAUCGAAUCUGAACAAGAUCCUUGCCAGGUAAUCUUGGUUGUAGGUUCUUCCCUUUCAUCACUUUAAGUAUAUCAUGCCACUCCCUUCUGGCUUGUAGAGUUUCUGCUGAGAAAUCAGCUGUUAACCUUAUGGGAGUUCACUUGUAUGUUAUUAUUCGUUUUUCCCUUGUUGCUUUCAGUAAUUUUUCUUUGUCUUUAAUUUUUGCCAAUUUGAUUACUAUGUGUCUCGGCGUGUUUCUCCUUGGAUCUAUCCUGUAUGGGACUCGCUGCGCUUACUGGACUUGGGUGGCUAUUUCCUUUCCCAUGUUAGGGAAGUUUUCGACUAUAAUCUCUUCAAAUAUUUUCUCUGCUCCUUUCUCUCUCCCUUCUCCUUCUGGUACCCCUAUAAUGCGAAUGUUGUUGUGUUCAUUGUUGUCCCAGAGGUCUCUUAGGCUGUCUUCAUUUCUUUUCAUUCUUUUUCUUUUUAUUCUGUUCCGCAGCAGUGAAUUCCACCAUUCUGUCUUCCAGGUCACUUGUCUGUUCUUCUGCCUCAGUUAUUCUGCUGUUGAUUCCUUCUAGUGUAGUUUUCAUUUCAGUUAUAUUGUUCAUCUAUGUUUGUUCUUUAAUUCUUCUAGGUCUUUGUUAAACAUUUCUUGCAUCUUCUCUAUCUUUGCCUCUAUUCUUUUUCCGAGGUCUUGGAUCAUCUUCACUAUCAUUAUUCUGAAUUCUUUUUCUGGAAGGUUGCCUAUCUCCACUUCAUUUAGUUGUUUUUCUGGGGUUUUAUCUUGUUCCUUCAUCUGGUACAUAGCGCUCUGCUUUUUCAUCUUGUCUAUCUUUCUGUGAAUGUGGUUUUUGUUCCACAGGCUGCAGGAUCGUAAUUCUUCUUGCUUCUGCUGUCUGCCCUCUGGUGGAUGAGGCUAUCUAAGAGGCUUAUGCAAGUUUCCUGAUGGGAGGGACUGGUGGCGGGUAGAGCUGACUGUUGAGCUGGUGGGCGGAGCUCAGUAAAACUUUAAUCCACUUGACUGCUGAUGGGUGGGGCUGGGUUCCCUCCCUGUUGGUUGUUUUGCCUGAGGCAAUCCAACACUGGAGCCUACCUGGGCUCUUUGGUGGGGCUAAUGACAGACUCUGGGAGGGCUCAUGCCAAGGAGUACUUCCCAGAACUUCUGCUGUCAGUGUCCUUCUCCCCACGGUGAGCCACAGCCACCCCCCGCCUCCACAGGAGACCCUCCAACACUAGCAGGUAGGUCUGGUUCCGUUUCCCCUGGGGUCACUGCUCCUUCCCCUUGGUUCCGAUGUGCACACUACUUUGCGUGUGCCCUCCAAGAGUGGAGUCUCUUUUUCCCCCAGUCCUGUCAAAGUCCUGCACUCAAUUCCCCCUAGGCUUCAAAGUCUGAUUCUCUAGGAAUUCCUUUUCCUGUUGCCGGACCCCCAGGUUGGGAAGCCUGACAUGGGUCUCAGAACCUUCACUGCAGUGGGUGGACUUCUGUGGUAUAAGUGCUCGCCAGUCUGUGAGUCACCCACCCAACAGUUAUGGGAUUUGAUUUUACUGUGAUUGAGCCCCUCCUAUCGUCUCAUUGUGGCUUCUCCUUUGUCUUUGGAUGUGGGGUAUCUUUUUUGGUGAGUUCCAGUGUCUUCCUGUUGAUAAUUGUGCAGCAGCUAGUUGUGAUUCUGGUGUUCUCGCAAGAGGGAGUGACAGCACAUCCUUCUACUCCACCAUCUUGUUUCCUCGGGUUGCCCGUCUGAUUCCUCUUUUUUAGCUCUUGUUGGAAACAGUAGGGGUUGAGUAGCCCAUUAAUGAACACAGAGGACUGCUUAGAUAGUGUGUCUAGCUUGGCUUUUUCCAAUCUCUAGGGAAUCUGUUUUCAAACAGGAAGGGACAGCAGCUGGUAGGUCUGGCAGUUCUAUUCCUUCUCAAGCUCUGCUGCUGUUCAUGCAUCUAAAGGUUGGCUGCAGAUAAACUGAUGAUAAUAAUGCCAUUAUUGCAGGAAAGCCUACAGAAUAGAGCCUAUCAUUACUCUUUCUUGCUGCAAACAGUCAAUUCUGAUCCCAGGAAAACUUGGAUUGCUUAUUACAGACAGUGGUAUGCAUGCAUGUACCACGCCUUGUGAAACACUGCUUAUAUCAUUAUACUGUGUUAUCACUAAUUUUUAAGUUCCUGAGAACAGAGGCUUACUCAUCUCUGUCUAGCCUUACUUCAGUGGUUACUUAUUAAAUGUCAGAUGAAUUUAAAUAGAUUCUGGUGGCAGAGAGUCUGCCUUGCCUGACUUGAAGCAUUUUGAGUCUGAUUCCCUGAACUUUAGAGUUGGAAAAUAUUUCUAGAAACAAUUUAACACUGAUUCUUAUAAGUGAUAAUUUAUGUAGAAUAUGAGCAUGGUUUUCAUUUUUUGCUGGGGUGUAGUGAUCAGAAUCACUUGUGGGACUCAAGAACAAAACAACAAACUUAUGUCUUUAUGCUUUCCCUUAGACUUCAUAAAUGAGUACAUUAGGGGUAGAUUUCUGUGUGUAUAUUUUUAAAGUCCAUUGGCUAAAGCCAACAGGGUUGAGAAGAAAUUAUAAUUACUAAACUUACAUAACAGUUGCUAAAUGUUUUAUUUACCAUGCAUAGUUUUAAGAAAUUCACAUUUAACUAAAGACCAUGUAAAUAACACUUUUACCACCAUUUGACAAAUAGAGAAACUGAAGUAAGCACAUUAAGUGACUUUCUCAAGGUCACACAAUUAGAAAGAUGUUGGAGCUGGAGUUUGCAUUCAAGCAAUGUUAUUCCAAAUAUUAUCUUAACCACUGUCAUUCAUGGAAACUAUUCAUAAAAACCAGUGGUUUGUGGAAAUUAUCUGUAUGCACAGAAAGAAUUGUAGCAUUUCAAGCAUGUGUGCCAAAAAACUCACUAGAAUUCUAUAGCUUAAUUUUAUAGCACAGGAGAAUUUUCUUCCAAUCUCGAUUGCUAUUACAGAUGACUCCGGUACUUUAUGUGUAUGCGAGCGGGUGGGUUGGUAUUGAUUAUAUGAAUACACAGAGGUCACUUUUUUUUUUCCACGCAACUAUUAAACAAAAGAAUAGAGAAAUUCAUAAAAUGUAUAGCUAUUUUAAAUGUCUUCAUUUUACUUCACUAUUUUAGUAACUUCUGGGUGUUCUGGCUUUAAAUCUACUGGGGAAAACUUAAUUGCCAAGAUGUAAUGGCAUACUCCAAGCUUCUAGUAAAACUCUGAUCCAGGUAGUAAAAUUAAGGUUUCUGGUUAGGUACACACUAUAUAGAAUAGUGGUAUUCUGCAUUUAAUUUGUUAUAAUACGUUGUUAUGGUUGAAGUAUAUGAACAAAGUCCCAUAUCACACAAAUAUGUAGUUGGGCAAAGAAGCACUGAAAUAAUCUUUUCAUGUCAUUGUAGAUACUGUCUUUUGAUAUUACACAAAAACUUGAGAAGUGGUAGUUUCUUAAAAGUUAGGUAUAAUUUCUGUUUCUAGCCAUGAUGGAGAACAAGGCCUGCAUGUUCCUUCCUGCUGAAACAACCAAAUAAAAAACAGAGAAACUACAUGGAAAAGUGAACUUCAAGACACUAGGCCUCAGACAGUGAGGAAAAUUGGCAAACAAACAAAUGGAGCCUUACAAUUUUCCCAGCUUACUGACUUGAGGGAACUUCCAGGUCAUGAGGCAAGGAAGCAGAAUGGAGGAAGAGCCAAGUAGACUCCUUGAGUUGAGGAAAUGGAGCUAAGAGUCUAGGAAGACCAAGAUAGCUAGAGUUCACAGGGCAGAGAACCAGUGAGGAGAGAACACAGAUCUCCAGAUAUCUGUAGAUGGUCCCUUUGAGAAUUAAAUGCAGUCCAGAUCAGCAUGUGUAUGUGAGGAAGCAGGCUGGAGAAAGAGCCAUCUGAAAGGGUUAGAGGGCUCAUGUCAGUCUAGUAACAAAGCCCAUUCUUAGCAGCCACUGUUUACUGGGUAGUACUUGCCUCAGUAGUAGGGAAUAAUUAGCCCUAGACUGCACUGCUCUGGCUCCACCCCAACAAAUCAUAAAACUAAGAUUCAAAAGGAUCAAACUAUUCUCAAGUAACAACUGUGUCCCAGAACAAAGUUCAAAAGUAUUUAUAGCAGUACUUUUAUAGAAAUACAAAAAUGCCCAACAUCUAUGAGAUAAAAUUCACAAUGGCUAUCAUCUAUUAAAGAUCAGUAGGCAUGCAAAGAAGCAAGAAAACACAACCCAUAAGAAGGAGAAUAAUCAAUUGAAACUAGCCUAGGUCUUAUACAGAUGUUAGAAUUAGCAGGUAAGGAUAUUAAAAAGUUAAAAUUGUUAUGUACAAAAAGUUUAGAAAUUUUGGAGGGUAUUAAAAAGACCGAAAUCAAACUUCUAGAGUUGAAAACUAUAAUUUCCGAGGUGAAAAAUACACUAGAUGGGAUGAAUGGCAAAUUAGACAUUGCAGAAGAAAAGAUUAGUGAACUUGACAUAUCAAUAGGAACUAUCCAAAAUGAAAUGGAAGAAAAAAAAAACAUGAGUGAAUUGUGGAACAACUUCAAGUAGCCUGGUAUAUGGUUGAUUAAAGUCCCUGCAGGAGGGAGGGGUGGAGAGUAUAAAAAAUAUUUGAGUAAAUCAUGCCCUAAAAAAUUUCAAACCUUUUGAAAACUAUUAACCCACAAAUCUAAGAAUUCAGUGAACCCCAAGCACAAGAAAUAUGAAGAAAACUAUACCAAACUACAUAACCAGUGUAAAAUCAUAAAAGCAGCUAAAGGAAGAAAAAGAGCAGAGGACCAAAGAUGAGUAUAACAUCAGAAUUCUCAUCAGAAACAAUCUGAGAACAAUGGAGAAACACGUUUAAAGUACUAACAUUUUUUUAAAGUGAAUAUAGAAUUAUAUAACUAGCAAAAUGUCUUUCAAAAGCAAAGAUGAGACUAAGUUUUCAGACAUAAAAAGCCUGAAAGAAUGCAUCACUGCAUUCACUACAAGAAAUACUGAAGUCUUUCAGGCAGACAAAAUUAUAUUAGAUGAAAAUGUGGAUUUACAUGAAGGAAUGAUGAACACUGGAAGUGAUAAACACAUGGGUUAAUAUAUAAGAAUUUUUAAAAUUUAUUUAAAUCUCUUUAAAAGAUAAUUACUUAAAAAUAACAGUGUUGAGGGUUUUUUAAUGUGUAAAAAUUAAAAUAUGACAAUAGUAUAAAGGCCAGGAGAAAAAAGAAAGAUUAGGCAGCCCUAGUUUUGCACAUUUUUGACAUAUAUGGGGUUCAGUUAGAUGACACCAAUUCCCUAACAACACAGUUCAAAUUUUUGUGAACACAGUAUAUUUGCUGUGAAUACUUUCAUAAAAGUCCAAACUUCACAGUUAGCUUAGUCCACAUAUCACUACUUAAAUAGCAGAUGUGGAUCAUGAUGCGUGACCUAUCUUUCAAAGUAUGUUAGUGAUUUGUCACCACACACGGGAUUCGGUUCAUAUGCGAUCAGCAAUGCUUGUAGUUUUGCCUCCUUGUGUCCUAGUGAUAGCCCAUGUGACAUUUUACAAAAAUGGGUAAUUGAAAGAAAUUAACCAACAAAGAUGAAAAUGCAGCAAAUAAAAAAUAAUAUUGGAAGUGAAAUUCAAAUCAAAUGUAAAUUGAGUUAUAGAAUAAAUAUGUGUUCAUGGGAAUGUUGGCACUACCACCUUUCAGGAGUUCCUAAAUAUGCAGCCAGAAACACAGAAUGAAGGCAAGCUUAACAUAAAUUAAGAGAAAUUAACAUGAUUAAAAGAAUGAAGAUGUCCCUGAGGAAGUGAUGCUGGCCAAAAAACAAAAAAAAAACCAACUUUGUAUUAUGGGAACUCUCAGGGCCAUCUUAUAACAUUAAAAGUACAAAGUUUAAAACGUCAGAAGUUAAUCAUUCAAAUUUAGAAGCAGUAAGAUAAUUCACCAAGACAUAGAAAAGAUCCUCAUAAGCUAUGCGAGAGGAAGAAAACAAACACAUUUUCUAUGCUUUUAAUUAUAGUGUACUAAAAACAAUUUUUUUCUAUUUUUAAAAUUUUCGUAGAUGUUUACAACUAACACUGAGAUCUUUUAGUUUUUUAAUAAACAUUUUUGAAGGUCAUGAGACAAUUGUAAAUUUUCCCAUUGAUUAUUAAGAUUGCUUUCCAUGGGUUUCAACAUUCACAGUCAUUGUUAUGGUCCUGCAUUAUGUGCAAAGCAUCAACUGCCUAUAUACUGUGGUAUAGUUCUUAUACCGUACGUGAAGUGGUAUAGUAUCACAUGAAGGUAAACUGUGAUAAAGAUGUAUACUAUAAACCUUAAAGCAGUUAUUAAAAUAACAAAGUGAAGUCAACACAAGAUAAAAUGGAAUAGUUAAAAAAAAAAACUAAAGGCAGAAAAAGUAGAAAAGACAUGGAACAAUACAUAAUGUAAUAGCAUUAUGACAAACUGAAAUCUAACCAUAUUAAUAAUCAUGUAAAAUGUAAAUUGCCUAAACACUAAUUAAAAGGCAGAGAUGGUCAGAUUGGAUUAAAAAAAAAAAGACACAAAUCUAUGCUCCCUAUAAGAAAUACAUUUAAAUGAAUAUAGUGACACAAAUAGGUUAAAUGUAAAAAAGAUGGCACAUUUUUAUUAUGCUAACACUAGUCAAAAGAAAUCUUGGGCUUCUCUGGUGGCGCAGUGGUUGAGAAUCUCCCUGCCAAUGCAGGGGACACAGGUUCGAGCCCUGGUCUUGGAAUAUCCCACAUGCCACGGAGCAACUGGGUCCGUGAGCCACAAUUACUGAGCCUGCGCGUCUGGAGCCUGUGCUCUGCAACAAGAGAGGCCACAAUAGUGAGAGGCCCGCACACCCUGAUGAAGAGUGGCCCCCGCUUGCCACAACUAGAGAAAGCCCUCGCACAGAAACAAAGACCCAACACAGCCAAAAAUAAAUUUUUAAAAAUUAAAUAAUAAUAAUAAAAAUAGUGAAAAUAAACAAGUGAUGUAAUAAUGUAAAAAAAGAAAUCUUGACUAGCUAUAUUAAUAUCAAAGAAAAUUUUAUAACAAAGAACAUUACCAUUGAUGAAGGUCAUGUCAUAAUAAAAAGUGAUCAAUCAAGAGGACAUACCUAUCCCAAAUGUUUGUGGACCUAGUAACAGCUUUAAAACUCAUGGAAUAGAAACUGAUAGAACUGCAAGGAGAAAUGGAUAAAUCCACAAUUACUGUCUGAGAUUUGAAUACCCCCUCAUUAACUGACAGAAUCAAUAGAAAAAUGGGCAAGAAUGGAAUAGACUUAAGCAAAACUAUCAACCAAGUUGACCUGAUUAAUGUUUAUGGAACACUCCACACCCAAUAGUAGUAGAAUACACAUUCUCAUGAACACAUGCACAACGUGUCAGGAUAUGACAUAUUCUGGACCAUAUAAGUCUCAGUUUAAAAGUAUUCUAGUCAAAGUAUUAGUAUCUCUGAUAUUAAUAGAAUUAAAUUAGAAGUAAAUUACAAAAGGAUCCCUAGAAAAUCCUCAAAUAUUUGGAAACAACAUGUCUCUAAAUCACCCAAUAACUUAAAAAAGGGGGGUAGAUUAUAAAACAUUUUGAAAUGAAUGAAAAUGAAAACACAACAUACAAUAUGAUAUGCUGCUAAAGAAGUACUUAGGGAUGCUAAACAUGUUAAAAAACAAGAAAGGUUUCAAAUCAAUUACCUCAGCCUCCUGCCUAAGAGACUAGAAAAAGAAAAGCAAAUUAAAACCAAAAUAAGCAGAAUAAAGGAAAUAAAGACCAAAGCAGAUUCAAUAAAAUAUUUUAAAAAAGCUAGAAAAAAUGAAAUAAAAAAAUCAGUUCUUUGAGAAGAUCAAUAAAAUUGAUAGAUUUUUAGUAAAACUGAUCAGAGAAAAGAGAGAACACAAAUUACCAAUAUCAGGAAUGAGAGGUGAUGUAACUACAGAUUCUACUGGUAGUAAAAGGAUGAUAAGGGAAUAUUAACAACUUUAUGCCAAUAGAUUUGACAGCAUAGAUGAAAUGGACAAAUUCCUUAGAAGUCACAAAUUACCAAAGCUCAUUUAAGAAGAAAUAGAUAACCCAACAGCUCUAUAUUUAUUAAAUUGAUAUUGUAGUUUAAAACCUUAGAGAAAGGUUUCUUUCUUUAAGAAAACUCCAGGCCAGUUGGCUUCACUACUAUAUUUUACCAAACAUUCAGGACAAAAAUAAGACCAAUUCUACACAAACUCUUCCAGAGAACUGAAGAGGAUGGACUGUUUCCCAACUCAUUCUAUGAGGUGAGCAUUAUCCAAAUAUUAAAACUUGAAGAAGACAAUAAUAGAAAACUAAAGACCAAUAUAUUUAAUGAACAUAAUUACAAAAAUUCUAAACAAAAUUUUAGCAAAGCAAAUCCAACAUUAUGUAAAAAGAAUGAUGCAUCAUGACCAAAUGGCAUUUACCCCAAGAAUGCAGGGUUGGUUCAGCAUUUGAAAGCAAACAAUGAAAUUCACUAUAUUAACAACUGUAAAAGAAAAAUAAUAUGAUGAAUAGAUUGGAAGGAAGUUUACUCAACCUGAUUAAGGGCAUCUACAAAAAAGUACAAGUAACAUGAUAAUGGUGAAAAUCUGAAUGUUUUUCUGCUAAGAUUGGGAAUAAAAAAUGUCUCCUUUUACCAUGUCUAUUCAGUGUUGUACUGGAGGUUCUUAUUAAGGCAAGAAAAAGAAAUGAAAAUCACCAAGAUUGAGAAGAAGAUAUAUAACUUUUUAUUUGCAGAAAAUAUGAUCAUCUAUUCAGAAAGUCAAUGUAAUCUACAAAAAAAAAAAAUGCUGCUAGAAAUAAUGUUUACCAAACAUUAUAUAGGAUAUAUAUAUAUCCUAUAUAACAGGAUAUAACAUCAAUAUGCAAAAGUAGAUUACAUUUCUAUAUACUAGCAACAAAUGAAAUUGAAAGUUAAAAAUAUUAUUCACAAAUGCUUUUAAAAAUGUGAAGUACUUAGGGAUAAAUCUAACAAAAGAUACGAAAGACCUGUACACUGAAAACUAUAAAAAAAAUGGCUAAAAGAAAUUAAAGACCUAAAUAAAUGAAGAGAUAGAUGUACCAUGUUCAUGAUUCAGAAGACAGUUCUCCCCAAAGUAAGCUAUAGAUUAAUCCCAAUCAUAAUAUUAUGAUAUCAACACAAACCCAAUCAUAUCAACAGCCAAUUUUUUUGUAGAAACUGACUUUAAAAUUCAUAUGGAAAUGCAAAGGACCUAGAAUUGCCAAAAGCGACCUUGUAAAAGAAUAAAAUUGGAACACUCGCAUUACCUGAUUUCAAGAUUUGUAAAUAAAGCUACAGAAAUCAAGACAGUGUGGUAGUGGCCUAAAGAUAGACAAAUAGACCAAUAAAAUAGAAUAGAUAGUUUGUAAGUAGACUCACACUUAUGUGGAAAAUUGAAUUUUGACAAAGGUACAAAAGCAACUCAGUAGAGAAAGAAUAAUCUUCAAUAAAUUAUGCUGUAACAAUUGAACAUAUGCCAAAAAAAAACCCCACUUUCAAUUCAUACCUCAUGCUAUACAAAAAUUAGUUUAAAAUGCAUCAUAAACCUAAAUAUAAAACUUAGAACUCUAAACCUCCUAUAAGAAAACAGAAGAAACUGUGUGACCUUGGAUUACCCAAAGUUGUUUUAGAUAUGACACCAAAAACAAUCCAUAAAAUAACAAAUUGAUAAAUAGGAAUUUAUCAAAAUUAAGGUACUUCUGCUCUUCAAAAGACACUGUUAAUAUUUUCAUCAAGGGGGAAAAUACUAUUUAAUGGGGAAAGAAUAAUCAGAUGAUGCUAGGACAACUGAAUAUUGACAUGCAAAAGAAUUAAAUUUGACUACUACCUCACACCAUAUAAAAAAAUUACUCAGAAUGGAUCACCAACCUAAAUGUAAGAGCUAAAACUAUAAAACUUUUAGAAGAAAACAUAGGAGUGAAUCUUAAGGUAAUAGUUUCUUAGAUAUGGCACAAAAAUCACAUGACAAAGAAAAAAUAGAUAAUUUACAUCAAAAUUUUAAAAUUUUGUGCUUCAAAAAAUACCAUCAAAAAAGAAAAAGAAAAAAGGACAACCCACGACUAGGAGAAAAAUCUUUGCAAAUCACAUACUGAUUAAGGACUUGUAUCCAGAAUAUAUAAAUUACUCUAAGAACUCAACCUUAAAAAAAAACUCAAUAAAAAAGAGAAGGGAGAGCAAAGAUUUGAACACCUAAUUCAUCAAGAUAUACAGAUGGCAUAUAAGCACAUGAAAAGAUCUUUAUCAUCAACAGUCAUUAGGGAAAUGAAAAUUAAAACUUUAGUGAGAUACCACCAUACACAUAUCAGAAUGAUUAAAAUUAAAAACACUAUGUCAAGUAUUGGUAACAUCUGGAGAGACUGGAACUCUCAUAUGCUUCUGAUGGCAAUGUAAACUGAUAAAAACCAUUUAGAAAACAGUUUUAUGAUUUAUAUGAAACUCUAGUAAAAGAAAACUACCAUAUUGUGGCAGAAAGCAGAUAGUAAUUGCUUGGGGAUGAGAUCAGAGAAGAAUGGAUGGAAGGGAUUAAAAAGAGAAUUUUGGGGGAUGAUGAAUAUGUUUACUAUUUGAUUUUGGUGACCUUGUCAUGACUGUAUAUGUAUUAUACUUCAAAACUGGUUAAAUUAUACAAUUUAAGUAUGUGCAGUUUACUGUAUGCCAAUUAUACCUCAAAGCUGUUUAUUAAAAAUAAAAUUAGUUG
This is an RNA transcript of Balaenoptera acutorostrata (minke whale), 20940 nucleotides long. It is a transcript of the gene named ETAA1 activator of ATR kinase, with no coding region annotated. The transcript has 7 exons. NCBI's taxonomy places the organism in Eukaryota, Metazoa, Chordata, Mammalia, Artiodactyla, Balaenopteridae. The record is from RefSeq and is a predicted model, not a curated record.